RNAcentral lists this small RNA (91 nucleotides) under uncultured Gellertiella sp. RNAcentral's name for it is "Rhizobiales sRNA Atu_Ti1". It matches the Rfam family "Rhizobiales sRNA Atu_Ti1". Lineage: Bacteria; Pseudomonadati; Pseudomonadota; Alphaproteobacteria; Hyphomicrobiales; Rhizobiaceae. The record is from RNAcentral.
GUCCACUCAGCGGCGGACCAGAGCCAGAAGCCCAUAAUGGCUAAGGCAGCAGCCGGCCGAUAUCGCGUCGUCAUGACGGUCAGGCCGGCUG